UACGGGGGGGGCAAGCGUUGUUCGGAAUUACUGGGCGUAAAGGGCGCGUAGGCGGCCUUCUAAGUCGGACGUGAAAUCCCUCGGCUUAACCGAGGAACUGCGUCCGAGACUGGAAGGCUUGAAUCCGGGAGAGGGAUGUGGAAUUCCAGGUGUAGCGGUGAAAUGCGUAGAUAUCUGGAGGAACACCGGUGGCGAAGGCGGCAUCCUGGACCGGCAUUGACGCUGAGGCGCGAAAGCUAGGGGAGCAAACGGG
Molecule: ribosomal RNA, 253 nt
Filed under: uncultured bacterium
Lineage: Bacteria
Description: partial 16S ribosomal RNA
Rfam family: Bacterial small subunit ribosomal RNA
Source: RNAcentral